AUACAGAGGGUGCGAGCGUUAAUCGGAAUUACUGGGCGUAAAGCGCGCGUAGGCGGCUUUGUAAGUCGGAUGUGAAAGCCCAGGGCUCAACCCUGGAAUUGCAUUCGAUACUGCAUGGCUAGAGUAUGGUAGAGGGAAGUGGAAUUUCCGGUGUAGCGGUGAAAUGCGUAGAUAUCGGAAGGAACACCAGUGGCGAAGGCGACUUCCUGGGCAAAUACUGACGCUGAGGUGCGAAAGCGUGGGGAGCAAACAGGAUUAGAAACCCCAGUAGUCC
RNAcentral lists this ribosomal RNA (274 nucleotides) under uncultured bacterium. RNAcentral's name for it is "partial 16S ribosomal RNA". It matches the Rfam family "Bacterial small subunit ribosomal RNA", at positions 523 to 796 of the family's 1533-position model. The record is from RNAcentral.